This 253-nucleotide ribosomal RNA is filed under the name uncultured bacterium. Its description in RNAcentral is "partial 16S ribosomal RNA". It matches the Rfam family "Bacterial small subunit ribosomal RNA", at positions 524 to 776 of the family's 1533-position model. The record is from RNAcentral.
UACGAAGGAUUCGAGCGUUAUCCGGAUUUAUUGGGUUUAAAGGGUGCGUAGGCGGCCCGGUAAGUCAGUGGUGAAAGCCUCCAGCUCAACUGGAGAACUGCCAUUGAUACUGCCGGGCUUGAGUACAGACGAGGUUGGCGGAAUUGAUUGUGUAGCGGUGAAAUGCAUAGAUACAAUCAAGAACUCCGAUUGCGUAGGCAGCUAACUAGGCUGUAACUGACGCUGAGGCACGAAAGCGUGGGGAGCGAACAGG